RNAcentral lists this ribosomal RNA (3017 nucleotides) under Dehalococcoidia bacterium. RNAcentral describes it as "23S ribosomal RNA". It matches the Rfam family "Bacterial large subunit ribosomal RNA". Lineage: Bacteria; Bacillati; Chloroflexota; Dehalococcoidia. The record is from RNAcentral.
GGUCAAGCUACUAAGGGCUCACGGUGGAUGCCUUGGCGCCAAGGGCCGAAGAAGGGCGUGGCAAGACUGCGAUAAGCCUCGGUGAGCCGUCUAGCUGGCGUAGCCGGGGAUGCCCGAAUGGGGAAACCCCUUCGACCAAAGGUCGAUGACCCCUGGCCGAACCCUUAAGCCAGGGGGGGUAAGUGGGAGAACUGAAACAUCUCAGUACCCUGAGGAAAAUAAAUCAACCGAGAUUCCCCUAGUAGUGGCGAACGAACGGGGAACAGCCUAAACCUGAGAGGCUUCACGGCCUGGGGGCCCAUGUCUUUCAGGUGUUGCAAGACUCAUCGGUUCCGACCCCAGUCGGGACAAGGAGUAAGAAACCUCUUCUCUAGCUGAAGGUCUCUGGAACGGGCCAUCGUAGAGGGUGAGAAUCCCGUAGGCGAAAGAGAGAAGGCUCCUGAUGGUGUUCUUAAGUACCGCGGGACACGUGGAAUCCUGCGGGAACCUGGGGGGACCACCCUCCAAGGCUAAAUACCCUUGGCGACCGAUAGUGAACUAGUACCGUGAGGGAAAGGUGAAAAGCACCCCGGGAGGGGAGUGAAAUAGACCUGAAACCGUGAGCCUACAACCCGUCGGAGUCCCGAUGCAAAUCGGGAUGACGGCGUGCCUAUUGAAGAAUGAACCGGGGAGUUACUCAGGCGUAGCAAGGUUAAUCUGCUCAGCAGAGGAGCCGUAGCGAAAGCGAGUCCGAAUAGGGCGAAUAGUUGCGUCUGGUAGACCCGAAACUGGGUGAUCUACCCAUGGCCAGGGUGAAGCCCCGAUAAUAUCGGGGUGGAGGCCCGAACCCAUUAUUAGUACAAAAAUACGGGAUGAGCUGUGGGUAGCGGUGAAAUGCCAAACGAACCCAGAGAUAGCUGGUUCUCCCCGAAAUGCAUUUAGGUGCAGCCUUGGAGUUGACUUGCGGAGGUAGGGCACUGGAUGGGCUAGGGGGCGUGAGCUUACCAAACCCAACCAAACCACGAAUGCCACAAGAUCGCACUCCAGGAGUGAGACGGCGGGGGAUAAGCUCCGUCGUCGAGAGGGAAACAGCCCAGACCACCGGCUAAGGCCCCCAAGUGCAGGCUUAGUGUGCAAGGAAGUAGGACCGCUAAAACAGCCAGGAGGUUGGCUUAGAAGCAGCCAUCCUUUGAAGAGUGCGUAACAGCUCACUGGUCGAGGGGUCCUGCGCCGACAACGUAACGGGGCUCAAGCCUGCCGCCGAAGCCGUGGAAUCUCGCGCAAGCGGGAUUGGUAGGGGAGCGUCCUGCGUGCAGCGAAGCUUCACCGUAAGGUGGGGUGGAGCGCGCAGAAGUGAGAAUCCCGGUAUGAGUAGCGUAUAUGCAGAUGAAAAUUCUGCACGCCGAAAGUCCAAGGUUUCCUACGCAACGUCCUUCGACGUAGGGUUAGUCGGUCCUAAGCCGAGGCCGCAAGGCGCAGGCGAUGGACAGUAGGUCAAGAUUCCUACACCACCUGUAUCUCGCUUAAAGCAAAGGCGGAACGCGGGAAGGUAGGUGGAGCGCACCCAUUGGACAUGGUGCGUCCUACCCUGUAGGCCAUGCCAGAGCAGGCAAAUCCACUCUGGCGCUACGAGCUGAGGGGGGAGGAAACUCCAGGGUCUCCCUGGGGGAUUCCACUGAUCCUAUACUGUCAAGAAAAGCGUCGUUGCUAUGGGGUAUGGGUGACCGUACCGUAAACCGACACUGGUAGACAGGGAUAAACGUCCCAAGGCGGUCGAGAGAACUCUCGUUAAGGAACUCGGCAAAAGGACCCCGUAACUUCGGGAUAAGGGGUGCCCAUAGGGUGAAACCCGCUAGCCGGGUGGAGCCUGCGUGGGUCUCAGCAAAUUGGCUCAAGCGGCUGUUUAACAAAAACACAGGUCUCUGCAAAGAGGAAACUCUAAGUAUAGGGGCUGAUGCCUGCCCAGUGCCGGUAGGUUAAGGGGAGGAGUUAGGAAUCUCGCAAGAGAGACCAAAGCCCUGAACUGAAGCCCCGGUGAACGGCGGCCGUAACUAUAACGGUCCUAAGGUAGCGAAGUCCCUUGUCGGGUAAGUUCCGACCCGCACGAAUGGCCUAACGACUUGAGCGCUGUCUCAACGAGAGACUCGGCGAAGUUGCACUGCCCGUGAAGAUGCGGGCUACCCGCGACCGGACAAAAAGACCCCGUGGAGCUUUACUGCAUCUUGGCAUUGGACUGGAAACAGGGAUGUGUAGGAUAGGUGGGAGGCUUUGAAGCCCCGGCGCUAGUCGGGGUGGAGCCAACGGUGAAAUACCACUCUUCUCUUCUUCUGGCCCUAACCCUGGAUAGGCCAGGAAACAGUGCCUGGUGGGCAGUUUGACUGGGGCGGUCGCCUCCCAAAAUGUAACGGAGGCGCCCAAAGGUCCCCUCAAGGCGGAUGGAAAUCGCCUGUGGAGUGCAUUGGCAUAAGGGGGCUUGACUGCGAGACCAACAAGUCGAGCAGGUGCGAAAGCAGGGCAAAGUGAUCCUACGGUUCUGUGAGGAAGGGCCGUGGCUUAUCGGAUAAAAGCUACCCCGGGGAUAACAGGCUGAUCUUGCCCAAGAGUUCAUAUCGACGGCAAGGUUUGGCACCUCGAUGUCGGCUCGUCGCAUCCUGGGGCUGAAGAAGGUCCCAAGGGUCCGGCUGUUCGCCGGUUAAAGCGGCACGCGAGCUGGGUUCAGAACGUCGUGAGACAGUUCGGUCUCUAUCCGUCGUGGGCGCAGGAGAUUUGAGGAGGGCUCUCCCUAGUACGAGAGGACCGGGAGGGACGGACCUCUGGUGUGCCGGUUGUUCCGCCAGGAGCAGUGCCGGGUAGCCACGUCUGGUCGAGAUAAGCGCUGAAAGCAUCUAAGCGCGAAGCCCACUCCAAGAUUAGAUCUCCCAUCCUUCCCGCAGGGGAAGGAGUAAGGCCACAGGAAGACUACCUGUUUGAUAGGCCGCGAGUGGAAGACCUGUAAGGGUUUAAGCUUAGCGGUACUAAUCGGCCGAGGGCUUGACCCA